This 497-nucleotide long non-coding RNA is filed under the name Anas platyrhynchos (mallard). RNAcentral describes it as "lncRNA (ENSAPLG00020012682.1)". The record is from RNAcentral. Lineage: Eukaryota; Metazoa; Chordata; Aves; Anseriformes; Anatidae.
UGUCUUUUUUUUUUUUGGGGGGGGGGGGGGGGGGAGUAGGUUUUUGUUUAUUGAUUGAUUGUUAUAUUUAUUUAUUGAUUGAUAGAUUUAGUGAAACGAGCCGAAGGCUUCCCUCAGGAGCCACCUUCCCGUUCCGCGCACCUCAGCAGGAGGUGGAGGAGGAGGCAGCAGCAGCAGGAGCAGGAGGAGGAGCAAUGGCGGCUGCCGCCCCGUGACGUCACCGCCGGGCGCCGCAGUGCGGGCCCCGGCAGCCGGCGUGGUGGUGGCGGUCCGUCAUGGUUCGCUUCGGGCUGACCGUUGUCCGGCAUGGAGAAACAAGAUACAACAAAGACAAGAUACUGCAAGUGCUAUGUGUUGCAAGGAAGAAUCGUGCUUCUGGAUUUUCCUAUCUCAAUUUUGACAUUGCAGCUUAAAGUAGGCAAUACAAGCACGGACACAACAAUUUCUUACAGGUUGGUCCCUCUGCCACACUUUUGGGUGUAUGAGUCAGCCAGCAC